UGAUGUUUUGCUAUGUGUGUGUUUUUGUUGUGGGCAUGUUGGGAGAGUUACCAGAUGACUAAGGGGUAAAGCACUUGCUGAUGCUCUGGAAAAUACAUCAGCACCGAGUCCUUCAGUCGAUACGAGCUCGCGGUCAUCCAGCUGUCCUCCAGCUGGUUAGAUCUCCCCGUCACUAAAACAAGGUUAAAGGAGGAUAAACCGAGUUAUGCAUGUCAUGGUCCAGUUCCCCUGUGCCGGCUCAUUCUUUUCUCUUCUCAUUUUCCUCUCUCUCUCUGUCUGUCUGAGUCUUACUCUGUGUGUGUGUGUG
This is a long non-coding RNA of Oreochromis niloticus (Nile tilapia), 307 nucleotides long. RefSeq lists it as uncharacterized. The record is from RefSeq and is a predicted model, not a curated record. The transcript is spliced from 3 exons. NCBI's taxonomy places the organism in Eukaryota, Metazoa, Chordata, Actinopteri, Cichliformes, Cichlidae.